GUGGAUUAGAUACCCUAGUAGUCCCGACCGUAAACGGUGUACACUAGGGGUGGGGAGAUUUCAACCUUCCCGUCCCCAAGCUAACGCGUUAAGUGUACCGCCUGGGGAGUACGGCCGCAAGGCUAAAACUCAAAGAAAUUGACGGGGGCCCGCACAAGCAGAGGAGCAUGUGGCUUAAUUCGAUGCAACGCGAAGAACCUUACCUGGGUUUGACAUGCAGCUGCACGGCCUAUGAAAGUAGGCUUCCUUCGAGGGUGCUGCACAGGUGCUGCAUGGCCGUCGCCAACU
Molecule: ribosomal RNA, 288 nt
Filed under: uncultured bacterium
Lineage: Bacteria
Description: partial 16S ribosomal RNA
Rfam family: Bacterial small subunit ribosomal RNA
Source: RNAcentral